GUUCCCGUAGCUCAGCCGGAUAGAGCGUUCGCCUCCUAAGUGAAAGGCCGGUGGUUCGAAUCCACCCGGGAACACCA
Molecule: transfer RNA, 77 nt
Filed under: Acidobacteriota bacterium
Lineage: Bacteria; Pseudomonadati; Acidobacteriota
Also listed under: 1 other name
Description: Acidobacteria bacterium (activated sludge metagenome) tRNA-Arg
Rfam family: tRNA
About the family: Transfer RNA (tRNA) molecules are approximately 80 nucleotides in length. Their secondary structure includes four short double-helical elements and three loops (D, anti-codon, and T loops).
Source: RNAcentral